ACCUACGGGAGGCAGCAGUGAGGAAUAUUGGACAAUGGCCGGAAGGCUGAUCCAGCCAUGCCGCGUGCGGGAAGACGGCCCUAUGGGUUGUAAACCGCUUUUGUUGGGGAGCAAUAAGGGUCACGUGUGACCCGAUGAGAGUACCCAGCGAAUAAGCAUCGGCUAACUCCGUGCCAGCAGCCGCGGUAAUA
RNAcentral lists this ribosomal RNA (191 nucleotides) under uncultured Streptococcus sp. RNAcentral describes it as "partial 16S ribosomal RNA". It matches the Rfam family "Bacterial small subunit ribosomal RNA", at positions 337 to 525 of the family's 1533-position model. Lineage: Bacteria; Bacillati; Bacillota; Bacilli; Lactobacillales; Streptococcaceae. The record is from RNAcentral.